RNAcentral lists this ribosomal RNA (438 nucleotides) under Bacillus sp. Q(2012). RNAcentral describes it as "bacterial SSU rRNA". It matches the Rfam family "Bacterial small subunit ribosomal RNA", at positions 1039 to 1482 of the family's 1533-position model. The record is from RNAcentral. Lineage: Bacteria; Bacillati; Bacillota; Bacilli; Caryophanales; Bacillaceae.
UGGGCAUGUUGUGUCAGCUCGUUCGUGAGAUGUUGGGUUAAGUCCCGCAACGAGCGCAACCCUUGAUCUUAGUUGCCAGCAUUCAGUUGGGCACUCUAAGGUGACUGCCGGUGACAAACCGGAGGAAGGUGGGGAUGACGUCAAAUCAUCAUGCCCCUUAUGACCUGGGCUACACACGUGCUACAAUGGACAGAACAAAGGGCAGCAAGACCGCGAGGUUGAGCCAAUCCCAUAAAUCUGUUCUCAGUUCGGAUCGCAGUCUGCAACUCGCCUGCGUGAAGCUGGAAUCGCUAGUAAUCGCGGAUCAGCAUGCCGCGGUGAAUACGUUCCCGGGCCUUGUACACACCGCCCGUCACACCACGAGAGUUUGUAACACCCGAAGUCGGUGAGGUAACCUUUAUGGAGCCAGCCGCCGAAGGUGGACAGAUGAUUUGGGGG